Myzus persicae (green peach aphid) is the source of this 2911-nucleotide long non-coding RNA. RefSeq lists it as uncharacterized. The record is from RefSeq and is a predicted model, not a curated record. The transcript is spliced from 2 exons. Lineage: Eukaryota; Metazoa; Arthropoda; Insecta; Hemiptera; Aphididae.
UAUGCAUACAAAUAUGCUCUUAAAAUUCUUAAAUAUGCACUUAAAAUUAAAAUUUAUUUUUUUAUUUUAUUUUGAUAAUAUAAUUAUUGAGUAUAUUAGUACAGUGUGUACCUAUUGUUUAAUCUGGCGCUCGAAAAAGUUUUUAGAAAUAAUACAUCAGUGUGCUACGAAAUGGAGCUUAACGAAAAAAAUGUAAUUCUAGAGUACUAUUACGUUGUCGAUAUUGUAAUAUCAGGAGGUACAGAGAACGAUGUAGUUAAGGCCAUGGAGAAAUUAAUUAAGUCCAGUCACAGAAUAAACCUUACUAUCAAUGGGGAAAAAACCAAGUACCUACCUAAAAUUAACUCGACAUUUAGUAAAUAAAACAGCAUUAAAAAUGGUUCCUUACUCUUUUGAACAAGUGGAUGAAUUUAAAUACCUUGGAGUCAACAGAUACACACAAAAUAAUAUGCAUAAUGGGAUCCAAUUGAGAAUAAAUAGUUCCAAUAAAGCAUAUUUUGCCAUGUACAAGAUGCUCAGCUCUAGACUACUGCCCAAAGGCACGAAAGAAAAACUGUACUUCUGGGACCAAAAAAAAAUUACUGUGAACUUAUACUCUGUUUUUCCUUUUUAAAUAUUGCACUAAUAACUUUAGUUUAUGAACAACUUUGUACUAAAUUUUCACUCGGUGAACAUUUGGUUUAUUUAACAAAUACUUAUAACAUCAAAAAUGUUCAGCCGAACUGGAUAUGUAAUGAAUCUUUCCGAUUUUAAUUUCUUUCUACUCUCUAGGCGUAAUUGCUAUAGCAUUAGAAUGUUUAGAUCUUUUUUUUCCAAUAAAAUGAUGGUUGCUCGGCGUUCUGAUUAGGCAAUUUGGGUACAUCAACGUCACCAAGUACACCUUUCUGCAAUCAUUAUGGUAGAUAUUUAAAUAUUACGAAAAUGUAUGCAGUGUCUAAUCCAGUAAUGGGUGCACCACAGACCACAGUGCCGUAGCCCGUAGCUAGAAUUAGGUGGGCCACAGAUCUUUAUUCUUAAGACUCUCUAGGUAGGCCCAGUGCAAAUUUAUCUAUGGGGUCAUUAUUUCCCGUUUAUAUUUAAUUUAAACUAUUAUAAAAAAAACCAAUACAUAAUAGAUAUCAAUAUAUGAUUUUAAUACGAAAAUUUUUUUUCUAGCUUUGGUAUUAGCAAAAUUGUCAAUUAUUUUUUCAAUACCUUGUUAAUUCGUUUCUUUCUAUAUUGAGAAUAGCAUUAUCAAUAAGUCUAUUUUGAGACCUGCAGAGUUUCUUAAAUAAUUUUGAAUGAGUUUUAGUUUUGAAAAUUACCUCUUAGCAGUUAGCUGAGGGCCUGAGGCACAAAUCACCGAAAUUGUAAGAAAUAUUAAAGCAGUCAAAACGUCAGGAGAACUUCAAGCCAAGUCAUUUUGAAUAGUCAGAUGCAGUGAUGCAUACGAUACGGUCAAUCAUAGGUUACUGCUCAAGAAAAUCUAUGAGCUAACUGAAGACGCAAAAUUUACAACAAUUAUUAAUCAUUUAUUAAGGAAUAGACAGAUUUUGUAUCACUAUUCACUGCAGAACAAAAAGAGCAGAUAGAAAAGAAAAAAUGAUGCAUUAUCUCAAGGAAGCGUUUUAGCACCAAUUUUAUUUAAUAUAUAUAAGUACUUAAUGAUCAACCAAUUGGGGACCAAACGAAGCACUUUAUUAACGCUGACGGCCUCGCUAUUACAACCCAGGGCAAAAUAUUCGAGAAGGUGGAAGUGAAUCUGAACGUCGCGCUUAAUACUAUGAAGGAAUACUAUACUGAUAAUCAUACAAAUUACCAACACAGAUUACCACUUUCCACUAACAAAACAGAGACACUAAGCGGAAACGCCGUAAACUGAGAAAUAAUUGACAAGACACACAUAUUAGAACACUGCGACGAACCAAAAUACUUAGGUAUUAAACUUGAUCGAGCCCUGACAUAUAGAAGUCAUUGUGAAAACACAAAAAAUAAAAUAGUAACAAGAAACUGCUUACUUCAAAAACUGGUUUGCUCUCAAAGGGGCGCAGACCCUCAUGUCUUUAGAACGACAGCCUUAUCAUUAUGUUACUCGACUAGUGAAUAUGCUUGUGCUGCAUGGAAAAACUCAGCAUAUGCCAAAAGGUAGAUGUGGCCCUAAAUGUAACUAACAGAUUAAUUACGGGAUGCCUAAGACCAACCCCAGUUCAGAAAGUACAAUUAUGUGGUAUAGAACCUCCUAACAUAAGGCUAGAGGAGGCAGUAAGAGUAGAGAAAACAAACAAGAAUUAGACAAGACAUUCUUUAUAUGGAUGUUAACUCUUUUACACCACUUGAUAUCAAACGUGCCAGUAUACGGCAGUGCUUAUAUGGGACGAUCGUCCAGUCAGAGGAUCCACCAAGAGUGUUCCAGAAUAGUAUUUAUGAUUAAAGCAAAAACUUGGACGAGUGCCCAAAACAUUAUGCACAAUUGUAUUCAGGAGUGUUUUACUUGGAGUGGCUCAAACACUACCAUAAUUAUAUAGGUACUACUACAUUUAUUAAUUUUUUUUUUCUUAGAUUUGCCUCAAUCACAUUAUUUUAAUUAUUCAUACAUCAUAAAAUAUUCAGUCUUCUUCUAUUUGUUUGGAGAGCUUACCUAUAACAGUGAUUGAGUCUAACAUUUCAUUAUUUAGUUCAAUAAGUUUUUUUUAAUUAACAUAAUAGCUGAACCCAAUAAUAUUGUGGGUAUUAAUGAAUCUUUUGUACAAAAAAAUCAUCUUUAAUAUUUUACACCUAUACAAUUUAAAUUAUGUGUAUUUUAAUAGUUCUCAAGAAUUUUUAUAAACAAUGUAGUACACCAACAUUAACCACAUAAAACAUAUAGUAGACUAAUUAUAGAAAACAACUUAAUAUCUACGAAAUUGUUUUUUGAAUCUUUCAUAGUGGAAAU